CCUUAGGCAAAUCCGGGAUCACUUACGCCGAGCACCGAGACGAGUCCUAUGAGGACGAAGUGACUGACACCACGCUUCCAGGAAAAGCCACUAAGCUUCAGCUUAAGAAAAACCGUACCGCAAACCGACACAGGUAGGCAGGGUGAGAAUCCCAAGGCGCUUGAGAGAACUCGGGUGAAGGAACUAGGCAAAAUGGCACCGUAACUUCGGGAGAAGGUGCGCCCUUUGGUGUGGUCACGUGCGUGACUGAGCAUCGAAGGGUCGCAGUAACCUGGCCGCUGCGACUGUUUAUCAAAAACACAGCACUCUGCAAACACGAAAGUGGACGCAUAGGGUGUGACGCCUGCCCGGUGCUGGAAGGUUAAUUGAUGGGGUCAGCCGCAAGGCGAAGCUCUUGAUCGAAGCCCCAGUAAACGGCGGCCGUAACGAUAACGGUCCUAAGGUAGCGAAAUUCCUUGUCGGGUAAGUUCCGACCUGCACGAAUGGCGUAACGACAGCGGCGCUGUCUCCACCCGAGACUCAGUGAAAUUGAAAUCGCUGUGAAGAUGCAGCGUUCCCGCGGCAAGACGGAAAGACCCCGUGAACCUUUACUAUAGCUUUACACUGAACGUUGAGUUCUUCUGUGUAGGAUAGGUGGGAGGCUAUGAAACCAGGACGCUAGUUCUGGUGGAGCCAUCCUUGAAAUACCACCCUGAAGUGCUUGACGUUCUAACCUAGGCCCGUAAUCCGGGUCAGGGACCGUGUAUGGUGGGUAGUUUGACUGGGGCGGUCUCCUCCCAAAGAGUAACGGAGGAGCACGAAGGUACGCUCAGCGCGGUCGGACAUCGCGCACUGUGUGCAAAGGCAUAAGCGUGCUUGACUGCGAGAUCGACGGAUCAAGCAGGUACGAAAGUAGGUCUUAGUGAUCCGGUGGUUCUGUAUGGAAGGGCCAUCGCUCAACGGAUAAAAGGUACUCCGGGGAUAACAGGCUGAUACCGCCCAAGAGUUCAUAUCGACGGCGGUGUUUGGCACCUCGAUGUCGGCUCAUCACAUCCUGGGGCUGUAGCCGGUCCCAAGGGUAUGGCUGUUCGCCAUUUAAAGUGGUACGCGAGCUGGGUUCAGAACGUCGUGAGACAGUUCGGUCCCUAUCUGUCGUGGGCGUUGGAGAUUUGAGGGGGGCUGCUCCUAGUACGAGAGGACCGGAGUGGACGUUCCGCUGGUGUUCGGGUUGUCAUGCCCAUGGCAUUGCCCGGUAGCUACGAACGGAAGUGAUAACCGCUGAAAGCAUCUAAGCGGGAAGCACGCCCCAAGAUGAGAUCUCCCGAGAGCUUGACUCUCCUAAAGGCACCAUCAAGACUAGGUGGUUGAUAGGUCAGGUGUGGAAGCGCAGCAAUGCGUUGAGCUAACUGAUACUAAUGAGCCGUGAGGCUUGACC
Molecule: ribosomal RNA, 1414 nt
Filed under: metagenome
Description: bacterial LSU rRNA
Rfam family: Bacterial large subunit ribosomal RNA
Source: RNAcentral